AGCCCUCCCUCCAUAAGCUUUGGGUAGUAGCUGGGGAAGCCCCAUACUGGCCAAUUUGGUCCCUGCAAGCAUUGAUUGACUGGGUGUUUGGGCCUGGGUCGGCGGCGUGUUGAUUUCCACGGCGCCGCCAUCGCUUCCCCGGGAUAAAGCUACAGUGUGCUGCUGUUUUGCCUUUCCCCUUUUUUUAUACAAGUGUUUUAUGCCCGUUGCCUUGCUUUAAUAUUGGUGCGAUCCCUUCGAUGUUGUGCCGGCAGGAAGACUGCGCAGAGGAGAGUUUUAGCACCAUUGUUAUGCACGGGCAUGCUUUUACUUUGUUUUAUUGCACGCCUGCCGGUUUUUAAGGUCAGCGGGUUGUGGGGAUUUUAUUUGAGAACCGGGGUUUUAUUAAUGUGCGUGUGUGGUGAGUAAUUUCUCACCCACACUGUUUUUAUUAUUUGAAGACUU
Long non-coding RNA from Archocentrus centrarchus (flier cichlid), 444 nucleotides. RefSeq lists it as uncharacterized. Lineage: Eukaryota; Metazoa; Chordata; Actinopteri; Cichliformes; Cichlidae. The transcript is spliced from 3 exons. The record is from RefSeq and is a predicted model, not a curated record.